UAGGGAAUCUUCCGCAAUGGACGCAAGUCUGACGGAGCAACGCCGCGUGAGUGAAGAAGGAUUUCGGUUCGUAAAACUCUGUUGUUAGAGAAGAACAGCGCAUAGAGUAACUGUUAUGCGUGUGACGGUAUCUAACCAGAAAGCCACGGCUAACUACGUGCCAGCAGCCGCGGUAAUACGUAGGUGGCAAGCGUUGUCCGGAUUUAUUGGGCGUAAAGCGAGCGCAGGCGGUCAAUUAAGUCUGAUGUGAAAGCCCCCGGCUCAACCGGGGAGGGUCAUUGGAAACUGGUUGACUUGAGUGCAGAAGAGGAGAGUGGAAUUCCAUGUGUAGCGGUGAAAUGCGUAGAUAUAUGGAGGAACACCAGUGGCGAAGGCGACUCUCUGGUCUGUAACUGACACUGAGGUUCGAAAGCGUGGGUAGCAAACAGG
RNAcentral lists this ribosomal RNA (429 nucleotides) under Bacteroidota bacterium. RNAcentral describes it as "Bacteroidetes bacterium partial 16S ribosomal RNA". It matches the Rfam family "Bacterial small subunit ribosomal RNA", at positions 355 to 776 of the family's 1533-position model. Lineage: Bacteria; Pseudomonadati; Bacteroidota. The record is from RNAcentral.